RNAcentral lists this unclassified non-coding RNA (343 nucleotides) under soil metagenome. Its description in RNAcentral is "partial contains 5.8S ribosomal RNA, internal transcribed spacer 2, and large subunit ribosomal RNA". The stretch from base 1 to 119 matches the Rfam family "5.8S ribosomal RNA", at positions 36 to 154 of the family's 154-position model. The record is from RNAcentral.
AUGAAGAACGCAGCGAAAUGCGAUACGUAAUGUGAAUUGCAGAAUUCAGUGAAUCAUCGAGUCUUUGAACGCACAUUGCGCCCCCUGGUAUUCCGGGGGGCAUGCCUGUCCGAGCGUCAUUGCUGCCCUCAAGCACGGCUUGUGUGUUGGGCCUCCGUCCUCCUCCCGGGGGACGGGCCCGAAAGGCAGCGGCGGCACCGCGUCCGGUCCUCGAGCGUAUGGGGCUUCGUCACCCGCUCUUGUAGGCCCGGCCGGCGCUUGCCGACACAUCAAUCUUUUUUCCAGGUUGACCUCGGAUCAGGUAGGGAUACCCGCUGAACUUAAGCAUAUCAAUAAGCGAGGA